UCCUUGGUGGCUCAGACGGUAAAGAAUCUGGCUGCAAUGCAGGAGACCCAGGUUCAAUCCCUGGGUUAGGAA
Molecule: transfer RNA, 72 nt
Filed under: Ovis aries (sheep)
Lineage: Eukaryota; Metazoa; Chordata; Mammalia; Artiodactyla; Bovidae
Rfam family: tRNA
About the family: Transfer RNA (tRNA) molecules are approximately 80 nucleotides in length.
Source: Rfam by way of RNAcentral